UUGAGGCUGCAGUGAACCAUGUUUGCACCACUGCACUCCGGCCUGGGUGACAAAGCAAGACCCUGUCUCAAAAAAGAAAAUUAUAAAUAAUUCAGGCAUUUAACAAAUAUCUACCACUUGAUCUAACAAAAAAAUAGUUCAAUACAAGUUAAGUGCCCACGUGUCACCCCUUAAUCCCAUGACUCCUAUUGUUUUCCAGAUAUCAUUAUUCUGAAUUUGCUGUUGUUCAUUAUGCAAUGCAUGUUUUAUACUUUUAUUAUAUAUUUAUGUGUCCAUAAGCAGCAUCUAGUAUUGGACUACAUGUUUUAAACUUGUAUAUAUGGUACCAUAUUGUGCACAUUCUUCCUUCUUCACUCAGUAUUUUCAGAUUUUAGCCAUCAUUGAUGCUUGUAGUCCUGGCUCAUACAUUUUCCUUGUUGUUUGGCAUUUCAUUGUAUGAAUAGACUACAGUUUAGAAAAACUAAUAUGCUGUUGAUGGACACAGUUGAUUACAGAUUUUCACCAUUAAAAGCAACUCUAAAAUGUCCAUGUUCCUUUCACAUAUGUUCUCUAUCAUAUAGAAAAUUAUGAUGUCCACACAGCACACGAGAAAAAGGAGGAGGCUUCUCACAGCUAAGGGUGACUGGGCCAGGGGCUCUGGCUGUCUAUAGACUGGUAAUUCAUUGGGUCUUACGGCUUGAAAAGCUGUGCUGCCAGAACAGUGAUUCUCAAACUCUAGCCUGUAUUAGCCUCACAGAUUGCUCUGUAGGUCUGACGUGAGACAGACUUUGCAUUUCUAACAAGUUCCCAGGUGAUGCUGAGGCUGCUGGUUUGGGGACUAUACUGGGAACUGCUGCUGUAGUACAUAAUACAAUGGCUGAACAACAUGACCAGAUACUGCCAAAUUGUUGUCCAAAGUCUGUAAUUAUCAGCAGAGUAGUGAGAGUUCCCAAUACUCCACAUUCUUUUUAGCACCUGUCAUUGUCAGCCUUUUAAAUUUAUGCCUGCUGGCUAUAAAAUGAUAGAAUAUUGCCAGAAUUUUUGUUCUUAGAUUACUAGUAAGGUUGAGCAGCUUUUCCUGUCUUCAUUGGCAAUUUUCCUUCUCAGUGAGUUGCCUGUUACGUACUUUGACCACUUUUCUCCUAGGUUUUCUUUAUCAAUUCCCAGGAGUUCUUUAUAUUUCCUGGGUAUUAAUCUUUUUCAGUUAUGCGUUAAAAUGUCUUCUGUCAGUCUGUGGCUUGCCUUUGCUCUUUAUUUAUGGUAUAUUUUAGUAUACAGAAGUUUCAGUUUUUAUGUAAUCAAACAUGUCAUUCUUUCUUUAUGGCUUGUACUUUUUAUAUCUUGUUUAAGGAAUCCCUUUCUCCCUUGAGGUCACAAAGAUGUUUUCUGAUAUUUUCUUCUCAAACAUUUUCUUCUCAAACUUUUGUAGGUUUGCUUUUCAUAUUUAUGUCUUUAAUCUUCCUGGAAGUUGUGAAUGGUGUAAGAUAGGGACAUAAUUUUAUCAUUUCCAAUUAGAAAGCCAGUUGGUCUUAGCAGCAUUUAUUAGAUCACCCAUUCUUUUCCCCACUUGUAUGUAAUACUGACUUGAGAGAGAGAGAUCUGUUUUAGAUUCCAUAUUCUGGGCCAUUGUUCUUUUGCCCACCUAGGCUUUAAAAAGACAUGAAUUACAGGAUGAAGGUUCUUACUAUUGUAAGUGAGUUACUGGACUGUUCUGCCUAGAAGUCAUAGAACUUUAGGGCAAGCACAUUUCCUCAGUGCCUGUUUCCCACCAGCCUCCUGCUAAAGUUGACUAUCUGCUUUCAAAUCUCCUAGUUCCUAAUUCUUGCCUCAGAACUGUCUAGUUGAGCACAUUUGCAGAGCUAUGAUUGUCAUUUCCUUAGCCCAGUGAGUAAUUCUGCCCUUCCUGGCUUUGAUUAACUACUUCCCAGUCUUUCUCUUAAGACUUAGAUUGGCAUUUCUCUCAUCUUCUCUACAAGCCGAAAUAACUUUACCAAUUAUAGGUGUACAGUAGAAAAACACUUUCCUAUACAUAGUUCCUGGACAGAAUGGUCGUCCACCAACAGUAAUGGAAGGGUUGUUCUCUCAGUUACUAUAAAGGGUUUAGGCAUAAUCUCUAAAUACGUAAUAGCAAGUUUCUGAGUUAUAGUAAAUGAAUGAGAUCUGUGCUGUUUCCAUAACGAGAAUAAGGUGCCAAUUCUUUCAGAGAAACAAUUGGAAAAGGCAUAUUUUUCACUUUUAUUACAUUGUUUACAAAGAGUAAACACUAGGUUUUUGACAGAAUGGUGUGAUGCAACAAGAGUGCCCCCAGAUCUCAUUGAUUUUAACUUUGUGACCUUGGGCAAGUGACUGCCUUUCUGGGUCUUCCAUAUCUUCAUUUCUAAAAGGAAGAGAAUUGAGCAAGGUGACUGUCAAGAAUUCCUACUUGGAAAUUUUGACUCAGUCUCUGGGGAACUGACACAUCUCAGAGAACUGGGAGAAAGGUAUCAUUUAUGUCUUUCAGAGGCCAAAAAUACUCCCAGAUUAUAGAACAUGCAUUAUGAUAAUGAAUGGGUAUUACAGUGAAGAUUAAUGUAUUUCAUUAUCUAAUCUUCGCUAGGUAACCAAAAUAGGUCAGGCUUAGACUUUAUCUUAUUUUAAUUCAGUCACUCUCACAUGGCAGGGAUAUUUGCAGCCCCAGAAGUCAGCUAAGGACUUUGGAAAGUCUUUUUUUUUUUUUUUAAUGACUUUUAUUUCAUUUGUUGGUUUUAAAUUGCAGCAGUGGUCUCCUCAGUCAAGACCCAGCCCAAAUUCUUUUGACACUGCCUUAUCCCAUUAGAUCAUCUGGCCCACAUUUUGCCUGGUGAAACUCUCCUCUGGCAAGGUAUAAGCACAACAAGGAAUAACUGCUUUGUCUACUACAGCCAGGUGGGAAGACACAGAUGUACUGCUGUACAAACAGUCUCCCAUCCUUCAGCCAGGCUGCCUGUGCUUUUGGACUCACAGCAUCUUUGUCUUCUUGCUGUCUUUUAGAAGAGGGCCUGGAAAAGAGCAUCUAUGCCUUUUUGAAUGGUUAACUUGAAUGGCAAUAUAUAGGAAAGGCAUAAGGUCUCUGAGGUUGGUAUAGCACCGGAUCCAGAGCUCUUUUAAACAAGCAGUCUGUCCAGUCAGGUGGGCCUUGGAGCUGGAGGCUUAGAUACCAGGACAGCUGUAUUUGAUCCAGACUGUUAAGAAGUAUGAACUUCAUCUUGUUACUUCCCUACUACGAUUCUGAAUCAGAAUGAUCAUGACUUUGCUAACUGAAGAAGAGAAAAUAUUGUCUUAGUUUUUUUCCCCUGUAAUAUUCUCUGUACAGGGGAAAAAAACUAAGAGAAUAUUUUCCCAGAAUGUCCACUGUGGUUACCUCUGGAAGAAGGGAUUAUAGGUUUCUUUACUUCUUCCUUUUAAAAUAUUUUUUUUUAUUUUCAACAACAGACAUGAAUCGUGAAACUCAAAAAAAGCAAUGAAUGUUACACUUUUCAAAACUUCCAUUAUGCCUCAGGUGGACGAUCAGAAUCUUUGACCUGAUGGAUAAAGGUGUUCACAAUUUGGCCCCAACCCAGUCCUCAAGCUCUAGUGUUCUUCAGAUCCAGUGAAUUUUGCUCACCAUUGCCCAGCAUGCGAUGACCUCUCACAACGCUGUGGUACUUGCUGUCUGCAGCACCAUCUACCACCCUUCUCUCUACCCUACCCAGCUUCAGGCUUCCUUCUGAGAAUUCUUUGUGUCCACACACCUCCCCCCUAUCCCAGGCUGGAUUAAUUUCUCCCUUCUUUCUGUUCCUAUAGCACUGCAUACAGAUAUCUACUCUAGCAGUUAUUGACUUAUAGAAUAACGAUUGUUAAAUGACUGGCUAUUUUAUAAGCCAUCAACUUCUUGAGGACAGGGAAUUUACUGAAUUUAAAUCACCUAAGCAUACUACUGUGCGGUAGACUCAGCCUGGAUUCUUGUUGAAUGGAGCAGGUGUUCAUGGUAGAUAUCCACCAGCAGAUUCUAAUGGUAUUUCUUUAUUUAUAAUGGCAUUUAAUGCCUUGCCUGGAAUACUGUCACAAGAAAGAAAGUAUAACUUACCCCUGAGGUAACUCACCUCAGGAUGUUUUCUGUGGAUCUGUACACCUUGCUAGCCCAGAUGGCUGCUCACAUGGUUGAACAUUUGGUUGUGUUGCUGGUUUUUAUCAGAGGCUGUACCUAGUAUUCUCUCCCAUCUGUACAACACACUUUGUGAGUCAGCAGCCCCUUUCUUCACAUUUCACAAGAUAUCCUCACUAAGGUCUUAUAUGCCAUCUGAAAUUUCCCUGAUGCCAUAUAUCUUCUUACAGAAAAUCACCUAGGUUUUGUUUGGUCUACUUGAAGACAUUUAUCUUUGACCAGGCCCUAGUUUACGCAGACUGUUCUCCUAAGAAAAAAGUUAAAUUUACUUUUGGGUUCUAAGUGUUGUACCCAAGCAAGUUAAGGAAUGUGCCACACUUUGAGAUUGAAUUAUGAGUCCUUUAUUAUGCCUGUGACCGAGAGGCGGCUAAUGCCCAGAAUUUUCUUGGCACCUAAGAAAAUGUUAGGUAGUCUUUUAUACCCUAGUUUUAAAAGGGAGGGGGAACCUAGCUGAAGCAAAUUUUUUACAGAAGAAGAGUAGGCAAAAAGUUAAAAGAUAACCUAGUACAUGAGAAAUAAAACAGUGCCAGGUGAAAGGGGUAAGGCUGUUAUAAAAGACAUACAACUUAUAGAUAAUGGGGGCUCUGGGCACUUGACAGUACCUGCAUUCCCAGGCUCUGCUGGGAAUCCACUUAACUCUGCUUGGAAACCACUUAACUUGGCCUUUUAUUAGCAAAUGCAUUCCUGGAUGUGCCCAGUGUUAGCCUGCCCCAGCUACAUACUACAGCUACAUACUUAAUGGUGGGAAAAUAACUAAAAUGAAGAAGCUAAGAUGGAGUCUGUCUGGCUCAAGAAGCUAACAUGAAGCCUGAACAGCUCUUAGUUUAUGCAGACUGUUCUCCUAAGAAAAAAGUUAAAUUUAAUCUUGGGUUCUAGGAGUCUUCUCCAUACCUGAAUGUAUUAGUUAUUACUUACUGCUUCUGCUUUAGCUUUAGCGCACUGGAUGCCGGCAUUCCAAUGUGUUCCUAAGCUUCAGAGAGCCAGGGGAAUCUGUUGUUACAUUUCACAUGUGCAGUCUUUUAUAUAAAAUUAUUGCAAUAUAUAUUGAGUAUAUUCUUUCAUAUAAUACGCAUUUUGUGCAGAUUUGAAUACAUAAAAUUGAAAUAGUAGGAUAUACUAAAAGUAUUAAUAAAGCUUCACUCCAGUUUUUAAAACAAAGUAGACUAGAAUGACAUAAUUUCAAAGCUGGAAGGCUUGAGUUGAUUGUAAACUGUGUUGAAUCUGCAGUCACAUGGCAGUGCCAUUUUGGCCAGUAAAACGCAGAUAAUACCUGACUUCCUUUGGCAGUGUCCUGUGUACCACAUUGCUUUUCACUGCAUAGGAACUUGUACUUGUGGUUUUAGUGUCUAUUUACCUGCUCUUGUUAGAACUGAAAAUAUUUUUGUAGCCUUAGAAUGUCACCUAAGCAUCCAUAAAAUGGUGGUGGUACUUGUGCUAGUGCUGCAACUAGCACAUGAAAAUAAAUAUUACUGGAAAAGAAUUUAGAUGUGGAGAAACAUGAAGAAGGUCAAAUAGCCCCCAUGGUACACUGUGCUGUUAAUUUAGGAAUGAGUGCUCUGUAGCUAAUGGAGAUGAUGCUUAGGAAAUAAAGUGGAACAUUGAAAUAAAAAUGCACCAUGGUGAUGUAGAUCUGUGCCUCCUGAGAAUGCAUUUAUUCCUGUGAAGAAAUUCGUUUUGAAUUUUGCAUAUAUUGAAUUAUUCAAAGUUUAUGCAUCCAUCUGGCUCUUGGGAUUUUUUUCAUAAUUAAAAUUAUUAUAUGCCAGUUUCAAAAUCUCUUUUUAAAAUACAUUGGGGCAAACAAAAAAUAAAAAUAAAAAAACACAUUGGGAUAAAAAUUAUAGGUUAUUAUUAAAGUAUAAAACAUGAAUGACUUUCAUUAAUAUAGUUCUCACCGAUUGCUUUAGCUUAAUAACUUCAAGACAUUUUUUUCUUAAAUAUUUUUGAAGGGUUCUAGCUUUUAAUACUGUAUAUCCAAGGUCAUAGGGCCAUUUAGGACAAACAUUUGGCAUCCCAGAAUAGAAUGUUAAAAUUGGAAAGAACCUUAGAGAUCAUUUUACAAAGGAAGAAACAGAUGGUUAGAGAGGGCAGCUGAGGGAUUGGCUCAGGGUCACACAACAUUUCAAAGUAUUUCUAAUUCUAUUGUCUUAAUUUUUCAGUAUCCUUUCCUCCUCCUCUGUGUCUUUAUAUGUAUUGACCUUUUCCCACCAUGAUAAUAAGCUGAAGUUCAGAUAUAUUUUAUCACCCAGGGUAAGAGUGGAAGUAUCUGUGUUUCUUUAAAAAAAAAAAAAAAAAAAAAAAAAAAAAAAAACCAUGUGGGCUUUU
Molecule: long non-coding RNA, 6463 nt
Organism: Cebus imitator (Panamanian white-faced capuchin)
Lineage: Eukaryota; Metazoa; Chordata; Mammalia; Primates; Cebidae
Exons: 2
Source: RefSeq, a predicted model, not a curated record